This is a long non-coding RNA of Fundulus heteroclitus (mummichog), 595 nucleotides long. RefSeq lists it as uncharacterized. The transcript has 2 exons. Lineage: Eukaryota; Metazoa; Chordata; Actinopteri; Cyprinodontiformes; Fundulidae. The record is from RefSeq and is a predicted model, not a curated record.
UGUAACUGUUGUGUUUGCAUCAAGUCCCCUGACCCACAUGCAGAAUCACUCAGAGGGCUCACGCUUAUUUACAGAGUCCCUGUGAUAAAUGGGCUCAGCUGAAGGCAGUUCCAGGAUCUGUGAUUCUGGAGGAAGACGGGAGCAGCUAGCCGGAGCGAGGGACAUCAGCUGAGAGGAAUCUUUCCAGAGCUGACAGAGGCGAUAUCGGCGCUGCUGUGAUUAAAGCUGCCGUCUCUGUUUCCAUCAGGAGCCUCUUCCACCUCGGCUCUAUGCAGCAGAAACAUCACCAGCGGCUGGAUGGCCCUCCGGAGGGUUCAGCACGGUAACGGCCAAGAUGUGCGCUGAGAGAGGAGGAAGAGCAUUUUAUCAGAGCCAUAGAUCAGGUUGGGAGUGUACAGCUAUCCUUUGCACACCGUAAUAUGAGGCAACUGCAUGGUGUCCAAUUUGAUUUGUACGAUUUAAUUCCAGCUUAUUACAGCUUCUGUUGCAGUUUGUUACUCAUACUGGAGCUUUGAGCCAUCAAGAGCCAUCAAGAUGACACUUUGUGCCAGAUUGAUUGCUUUAAUCUGGAAACUGAUUGCAGUUUUGGAGUUUU